UACGGAGGGUGCAAGUGUUAUCCGGAUUCACUGGGUUUAAAGGGUGCGUAGGUGGGCAAGUAAGUCAGUGGUGAAAUCUCCGGGCUUAACCCGGAAACUGCCAUUGAUACUAUUUGUCUUGAAUACUGUGGAGGUCAGCGGAAUAUGUCAUGUAGCGGUGAAAUGCUUAGAUAUGACAUAGAACACCAAUUGCGAAGGCAGCUGGCUACACAAAUAUUGACACUGAGGCACGAAAGCGUGGGGAUCAAACAGG
Molecule: ribosomal RNA, 253 nt
Filed under: uncultured bacterium
Lineage: Bacteria
Description: partial 16S ribosomal RNA
Rfam family: Bacterial small subunit ribosomal RNA
Source: RNAcentral